RNAcentral lists this long non-coding RNA (1056 nucleotides) under Gadus morhua (Atlantic cod). Its description in RNAcentral is "lncRNA (ENSGMOG00000025091.1)". The record is from RNAcentral. Lineage: Eukaryota; Metazoa; Chordata; Actinopteri; Gadiformes; Gadidae.
CACAUUUGCUUCAUUUAAUAUGCUACAAAAAGAUCACAACCUUCCCAACAAUCACUUUUUCAGGUACUUACAGGUACGUAGUUUUGCCAGGAAACAUUUCCCAUUUCCCUCCUUAUCACCUAAAAAUGCAACCGAUAUCAUACUGGACCUGGACCCUAUGUUGAAAAAAAGGGUGUCUAAAAUCUACAAAACAGUACUAGGCAUUAGCCCCCCUCAGUGGGACAAGGCCAGACUGGCAUGGGAAGAGGACCUAGGUGUUGCACUGUCUGACGAGACAUGGCAAUGUAGCUUAAAACGCAUACAUACCACUUCUUUAUGCUUAAAACACGGUCUUAUUCAAUUUAAAAUUGUGCAUCGGUUGCAUUAUUCACCAGAGAAACUGGCCAAAAUAUAUCCUGGCACCAAUCCUGUGUGUCCGAGGUGUGGCCACAGUCCAGCUAAAUUAGGUCACAUGUUUUGGUCUUGCAAUUCGCUUAAUAACUUCUGGGUCAGGGUCUUUGAAGCAAUCUCCUCCAUUUGUGACAGAACAGUGAAUCCCGAUCCAACAGUUGCUAUUUUCGGGGUAUUCCCAUCAGAAGAACCAUUCACUGUCCCCCAGGUAAAUGCUGUAGCAUUUAUAACACUACUAGCCCGGAGACAAAUUCUUUUGCUCUGGAAGUCUGUAACACCCCCCUCGUUUAGACACUGGAUCAAAGAGGUACUCUCUGUGAUCCCAUUAGAGAAGUUAAGAUAUAAUCGGAGUAAUUUACGGGACAGGUACAUUAAAACCUGGGCCCCCUUUAUAGAAUUUGUUGAAAAUGUAUCCUUCACAUGAUGUAAUUCUUUACAUAUCAAUGUACUGCCAACUGGAUCUACUGAUGUAUGUCAUGAUGAUAUAUGUGGUAUAACGUUACAGGAUAUUCCCAUUUUGAGAAUUGUAAAGUGAUAUACAGGAAACGUUUGUAACUAUGUUUUGUGUACCUACCUCUACUGUUUGUUUGUUUUUGUUUGUCUUGUUUUGUGUUUUGUUUUUUGGUUGUCUUUCUUUUUUUUUUUUGAGCCUUGGGGGGUGGGAUG